CAUCUGCACCAAGUUUCUUAAGUCUUUCUUUAACGUCUUCAGACCCAGCCCUGUCUCUGAUAAUAUUUAUGCUACGAACCCCCUGAAUCCUUGCAAGCUGAAUAAUGCACUGACCCACCAUACUAGUAGAACCAUUUUGCACAAUACUAUCACCAGGAGUGAGUUUAACAAUGUCUUCCAGCAUCAGCAGAGCUGUCAAGGGAUUCACAG
Molecule: unclassified non-coding RNA, 210 nt
Filed under: Hevea brasiliensis (rubber tree)
Lineage: Eukaryota; Viridiplantae; Streptophyta; Magnoliopsida; Malpighiales; Euphorbiaceae
Source: RNAcentral